Molecule: ribosomal RNA, 617 nt
Filed under: uncultured bacterium
Lineage: Bacteria
Description: bacterial SSU rRNA
Rfam family: Bacterial small subunit ribosomal RNA
Source: RNAcentral
CCUACGGGAGGCAGCAGUUUCGAAUCAUUCACAAUGGGCGAAAGCCUGAUGGUGCGACGCCGCGUGAGGGAUGAAGGUCUUCGGAUUGUAAACCUCUGUCACCGGGGAAGAAACGCUUUGAGUUAAUAGUUCAAAGCCUGACUUAACCCGGAGAGGAAGCAGUGGCUAACUCCGUGCCAGCAGCCGCGGUAAUACAGAGACUGCAAGCGUUAUUCGGAUUCACUGGGCGUAAAGGGUGCGCAGGCGGCCAUGUGUGUGAGGCGUGAAAGCCCGAGGCUCAACCUCGGAAUUGCACCUCAAACUACAUGGCUAGAGCAUUGGAGAGGGUAGCAGAAUUCAUGGUGUAGCAGUGAAAUGCGUAGAUAUCAUGAGGAAUACCAGAGGCGAAGGCGGCUACCUGGACAAUUGCUGACGCUCAGGCACGAAAGCGUGGGGAGCAAAAGGGAUUAGAUACCCCUGUAGUCCACGCCCUAAACGGUGCAUACUAGGUCUUGGCGGAUUCGACCCCACCAGGGCCCAAGCUAACGCGAUAAGUAUGCCGCCUGAGGACUACGGCCGCAGGCUAAAACUUAAGGAAUUGACGGCUUGAGGACGNGCGAGCGACGACGAGGGAGAGG